Molecule: long non-coding RNA, 275 nt
Filed under: Rosa chinensis
Lineage: Eukaryota; Viridiplantae; Streptophyta; Magnoliopsida; Rosales; Rosaceae
Description: sRNA RchiOBHm_Chr3g0453921
Source: RNAcentral
GAUUCUCUCUUCCUCUCCGACCUCUUCACCUUCUUCCGGCCAUAUCUCCUCCAUCCGGCGACGGAUUUUGACGUGUAAGCAAUGAGAAGAAGAGGACGGUCACUGUAGCCGAACGGAGGUUUCAUCGUUUUCCGGCGAUUCCGGCCACCUCCGGUCCCCAUUUCGCCAUCGAAGGGGAAUGUCGCGAGCUACGGUUAGAUGAAGGAACUCGUUUGCGUGGUUGCCAAUAGUACUUUUGCAGGCGAAUUAGUGGAGGUCGGGCGUACAUGACAUUU